RNAcentral lists this long non-coding RNA (323 nucleotides) under Centruroides sculpturatus (bark scorpion). RNAcentral describes it as "uncharacterized LOC111627496, transcript variant X3". The record is from RNAcentral. Lineage: Eukaryota; Metazoa; Arthropoda; Arachnida; Scorpiones; Buthidae.
UUUGUGACAACACACCGGUUGCGGAACACUUAGUUAUACUAACCGUUUGUUGUUACUGGACUUCGAAUCGAGUCGUACCUCAUUCGCGUUGUAACUGCCGCUACGCGUAGGCCUUGCCACAUCGAAAGUAUAAAACAGAACAACUUUACAGUAAAUUAUCCAACUUUAUCAGCAGAAUACAAUCGAAUAUUUACAUGGCUCUUUACCUAGUUCUUCUGACAAGCGUUAUUAUCGGAUCUUUGAUAGGAAGAGGAUCGGCAGAUAUGAAAAAACUCGUACGCCCAAUUGCAUCUUCAGCUUGUCAGACGGGAUCCACUAGAGCA